GUGGGGAAUAUUGGACAAUGGGCGCAAGCCUGAUCCAGCCAUACCGCGUGGGUGAAGAAGGCCUUCGGGUUGUAAAGCCCUUUUGUUGGGAAAGAAAUCCUGUCGGUUAAUACCUGGCGGGGAUGACGGUACCCAAAGAAUAAGCACCGGCUAACUUCGUGCCAGCAGCCGCGGUAAUACGAAGGGUGCAAGCGUUACUCGGAAUUACUGGGCGUAAAGCGUGCGUAGGUGGUGGUUUAAGUCCGUUGUGAAAGCCCUGGGCUCAACCUGGGAAUUGCAGUGGAUACUGGAUCACUAGAGUGUGGUAGAGGGAUGCGGAAUUUCUGGUGUAGCAGUGAAAUGCGUAGAGAUCAGAAGGAACAUCCGUGGCGAAGGCGGCAUCCUGGGCCAACACUGACACUGAGGCACGAAAGCGUGGGGAGCAAACAGGAUUAGAAACCCGGGUAGUCC
RNAcentral lists this ribosomal RNA (450 nucleotides) under uncultured bacterium. RNAcentral's name for it is "bacterial SSU rRNA". It matches the Rfam family "Bacterial small subunit ribosomal RNA", at positions 354 to 796 of the family's 1533-position model. The record is from RNAcentral.